GUCAAAUGUUAUCAUGGUUAUGCAUGCACAGGGGUUUCUGUUUGUUACAAUUUGCCGGGUUCACUAUCCAUUACGAACCCCGAAAAAUUGGGGUUGCAUAGUAAACACGGCAAAGUGUAACAAACCCCUGUGAUGCAUGUAAACCCUUUAAUCAGUCCAAGAACGGAAGCAAGACAACUCGACCUGCCGACAAAUCUCCCCACUUUUUCACCAACUCGCCCCACUUUUAACAGUUUAAAAAAAAUCCCCCCACUAAAUGAAAAGUGUUUAAUCCUGUCAAAUAUACUCCUGCCAAAUCCCCACUUGUGAAAAUGAGUAAAAUCCAGAUUAAUAUUAAAAAAAAGUCAAAAGAACACUGUUCAUGCUGUUAAACCCUGUUUUUAAAUGGGUAACAAUGUUAUAAAGGUCAGCCAAAAUAUGAAGACUGAAGUAUAGAAAAUACAGAAAAAAAUAUAUUAUUGUGAAAGAGCACAAAAUAAAGAAAUUCAUUGGCGCCAUAAUUUUUUUAAAUCUGAGUCGACUGGUUCAAAGGUUAUAACAAUUAAGAUUUAAAAAAAUUGUCCAAGACAAAAAUACUAUAUUUUGGGGCUAAUUUUUAGGCCAAAAUGAAAUAUAACAAAAGGUAAUGACAAAAAUGUAGGAACAGC
RNAcentral lists this long non-coding RNA (647 nucleotides) under Mytilus galloprovincialis (Mediterranean mussel). Lineage: Eukaryota; Metazoa; Mollusca; Bivalvia; Mytilida; Mytilidae. The record is from RNAcentral.